CAUUGGGUUUAAAGGGUCCGUAGGCGGUUUUUUAAGUCAGAGGUGAAAUCCUGCAGCUCAACUGUAGAAUUGCCUUUGAUACUGAAAGACUUGAGUUAUUGUGAAGUGGUUAGAAUGUGUGGUGUAGCGGUGAAAUGCAUAGAUAUUACACAGAAUACCAAUUGCGAAGGCAGAUCACUAACAAUAUACUGACGCUCAGGGACGAAAGCGUGGGUAGCGAACAGGAUUAGAUACCCUGGUAGUCCACGCCGUAAACGAUGGA
RNAcentral lists this ribosomal RNA (262 nucleotides) under uncultured Flavobacteriia bacterium. RNAcentral describes it as "partial 16S ribosomal RNA". It matches the Rfam family "Bacterial small subunit ribosomal RNA", at positions 553 to 813 of the family's 1533-position model. The record is from RNAcentral. Lineage: Bacteria; Pseudomonadati; Bacteroidota; Flavobacteriia.